RNAcentral lists this ribosomal RNA (489 nucleotides) under uncultured bacterium. RNAcentral describes it as "partial 16S ribosomal RNA". It matches the Rfam family "Bacterial small subunit ribosomal RNA", at positions 30 to 507 of the family's 1533-position model. The record is from RNAcentral.
UUGAACGCUGGCGGCAGGCCUAACACAUGCAAGUCGAACGGUAACAGGAAGCAGCUUGCUGCUUCGCUGACGAGUGGCGGACGGGUGAGUAAUGUCUGGGAAGCUGCCUGAUGGGGGGGGAUAACUACUGGAAACGGUAGCUAAUACCGCAUAAUGUCGCAAGACCAAAGAGGGGGACCUUCGGGCCUCUUGCCAUCGGAUGUGCCCAGAUGGGAUUAGCUUGUUGGUGGGGUAACGGCUCACCAAGGCGACGAUCCCUAGCUGGUCUGAGAGGAUGACCAGCCACACUGGAACUGAGACACGGUCCAGACUCCUACGGGAGGCAGCAGUGGGGAAUAUUGCACAAUGGGCGCAAGCCUGAUGCAGCCAUGCCGCGUGUAUGAAGAAGGCCUUCGGGUUGUAAAGUACUUUCAGCGGGGAGGAAGGGAGUAAAGUUAAUACCUUUGCUCAUUGACGUUACCCGCAGAAGAAGCACCGGCUAACUCCGUG